Molecule: ribosomal RNA, 466 nt
Filed under: uncultured bacterium
Lineage: Bacteria
Description: partial 16S ribosomal RNA
Rfam family: Bacterial small subunit ribosomal RNA
Source: RNAcentral
GAUGAACGCUGGCGGCGUGCUUAACACAUGCAAGUCGAACGGAAAGGCCCAAGCUUGCUUGGGUACUCGAGUGGCGAACGGGUGAGUAACACGUGGGUGAUCUGCCCUGCACUUCGGGAUAAGCCUGGGAAACUGGGUCUAAUACCGGAUAGGACCACAUUUUGGAUGGUGUGGUGGAAAGUUUUUCGGUGUGGGAUGAGCUCGCGGCCUAUCAGCUUGUUGGUGGGGUGAUGGCCUACCAAGGCGUCGACGGGUAGCCGGCCUGAGAGGGUGUACGGCCACAUUGGGACUGAGAUAAGGCCCAGACUCCUACGGGAGGCAGCAGUGGGGAAUAUUGCACAAUGGGCGCAAGCCUGAUGCAGCGACGCCGCGUGGGGGAUGACGGCCUUCGGGUUGUAAACUCCUUUCGCUAGGGACGAAGCGUUAUGUGACGGUACCUGGAGAAGAAGCACCGGCUAACUACGUG